Molecule: non-coding RNA, 142 nt
Organism: Gossypium raimondii (Peruvian cotton)
Lineage: Eukaryota; Viridiplantae; Streptophyta; Magnoliopsida; Malvales; Malvaceae
Source: Rfam
UUUCAAAAUUUUCCUCCAUUUCUAUUGUUAAAAAUAGGCAUGGCUGACGGAAUAACUAGACAAUUACAAAUGGUAUGCCAUGUGUACCUCAUGUCGAUGUACAGGAACUAGUUUUUAACAGUAGAAAUGGAUGAAAAUUAAA